UACGGAGGGUGCAAGCGUUAUCCGGGUUCACUGGGUUUAAAGGGUGCGUAGGUGGGCAGGUAAGUCAGUGGUGAAAUCUCCGGGCUUAACCCGGAAACUGCCAUUGAUACUAUCUGUCUUGAAUACCGUGGAGGUGAGCGGAAUAUGUCAUGUAGCGGUGAAAUGCUUAGAUAUGACAUAGAACACCAAUUGCGAAGGCAGCUCACUACGCGAAUAUUGACACUGAGGCACGAAAGCGUGGGGAUCAAACAGG
Molecule: ribosomal RNA, 253 nt
Filed under: uncultured bacterium
Lineage: Bacteria
Description: partial 16S ribosomal RNA
Rfam family: Bacterial small subunit ribosomal RNA
Source: RNAcentral